AUCUGGACUGCUCUUGCUAUGAAUCAGUCUUCGUUUAAUCAUUGAAUAAAUUGUAUAGAAAUCUAAUCAAACACUAACAUAACAGUCUUACCUGACUCUAUUGGCUUUGAAUUACAUUUGAUACCUGAACUGGAAGACAACGCUUUAGAGUUGCCACAUUAGCACACCGAUCUGUGGAUUAUCAACAACUUAUCUAAGAUAAGUUUUGCAGUUGCUGGAAUUUCUGAAACUUUGCUGCAGAGGUGAACACAAUAUGGAAGCAG
Molecule: long non-coding RNA, 263 nt
Organism: Stegostoma tigrinum
Lineage: Eukaryota; Metazoa; Chordata; Chondrichthyes; Orectolobiformes; Stegostomatidae
Exons: 3
Source: RefSeq, a predicted model, not a curated record